Molecule: transfer RNA, 65 nt
Filed under: Pseudocardium sachalinense (Sakhalin surf clam)
Lineage: Eukaryota; Metazoa; Mollusca; Bivalvia; Venerida; Mactridae
Description: tRNA-Thr
Source: RNAcentral
UGGUUCAUAGUUUAAGAAGAACGGGAGUUUUGUAGACUUCAAGUGGCUGUGAUGGUCUGAGCUUA